Long non-coding RNA from Dicentrarchus labrax (European seabass), 737 nucleotides. RefSeq lists it as uncharacterized. Lineage: Eukaryota; Metazoa; Chordata; Actinopteri; Moronidae. The record is from RefSeq and is a predicted model, not a curated record. The transcript has 3 exons.
CGCACAUGUACUUGUGUUUUGAUUUUGUGAUGGAGGAUGGGAAGGCGACCACUGGGCAGCUGUGUCUCAAGUCAAAUCUUUAGGGAUUCAAGUCUCAACUCAAGAAGCCCUCAGUUUUCUGUAAGUCCUUUAUUGGCGCUGCAAUGCCUUGGUGGUCCGCACUACAGGACCAUACUGGGGUUCUUUCAUCCGUGCAUGUAAGUAACCUGAAUAAAUACACAAAUAUUCAUCAAAUAAAUCAACAUUGAUAAUGACUACAAACAGGUUUAAUCGUGUUUGUGUGUGAAUAUUGUAAUCAUAGUGGUGUUGUGAAGGAAAGCAGAAGCAGCUGAUCAAACGGAUAUGCAACAUGUAUAUAAUGAAAGAAUGAUGAUUGAUGAUAAUCAACCAAAAUAAACUCUCUGCUCCACUUCACUGCUCUGCUCUACACAGCCUUUUCACACACUCUCCACCGAGUGUUGCUUAACGAGUGAGUGACAACAGGCCCGGAUGAGGGUUUUCCACUGCAUAAACCUUUAAUCCUCACUGGUGGCUCCUGUAGGCCAGUGGUUCUCAACCUUUUUGGGACCCCCAAAUCCCCAUCUGAUAAGAUCUAUAUCGUAGAUUGGCAGAUAAACAGUGAAGUAUGUGAAACCUAUGGCCAGUCAUUCAUACAUUCUCUUAUUGAGCUAACUUCCAGUCAAUAGUGAAAAAUAUUAUAUGUAAUAUUUCCACAUUAAAAUGUCUAUAAAACACUA